GCAAGUCGAACGGUAACAGGCUCAGCUUGCUGAGUGCUGACGAGUGGCGGACGGGUGAGUAACGCGUGGGAACAUACCUGUUAGUUGGGGACAACCUGUGGAAACGCAGGCUAAUACCGAAUAUAUUCUACGGAAUAAAGGUGGCCUCUAUAUAUAAGCUAUCGCUAACAGAUUGGCCUGCGUUGGAUUAGCUAGUUGGUGGGGUAAAGGCCCACCAAGGCGACGAUCCAUAGCUGGUCUGAGAAGACGAAC
Molecule: ribosomal RNA, 252 nt
Filed under: uncultured bacterium
Lineage: Bacteria
Description: partial 16S ribosomal RNA
Rfam family: Bacterial small subunit ribosomal RNA
Source: RNAcentral